This 69-nucleotide transfer RNA is filed under the name Pseudohynobius shuichengensis. Its description in RNAcentral is "tRNA-Met". It matches the Rfam family "tRNA". From Rfam's summary of the family: Transfer RNA (tRNA) molecules are approximately 80 nucleotides in length. The record is from RNAcentral. Lineage: Eukaryota; Metazoa; Chordata; Amphibia; Caudata; Hynobiidae.
AGCGGAAUAAGCUAAAUAAGCUUUUGGGCCCAUACCCCAAAAAUGCUGGUUAAAAUCCUCCUCCCGCUA